AUACUGAUGAAGAGUCCCAAAUCGGGACGAAACACAUGUACAAUAU
Molecule: non-coding RNA, 46 nt
Filed under: Trichobilharzia regenti
Lineage: Eukaryota; Metazoa; Platyhelminthes; Trematoda; Strigeidida; Schistosomatidae
Source: RNAcentral